UCAGAACGACUCUCGGCAACGGAUAUCUCGGCUCUCGCAUCGAUGAAGAACGUAGCAAAACGCGAUAUUUGGUGUGAAUUGCAGAAUCMCGUGAAMCAUCGAGUUUUUGAACGCAAGUUGCGCCCGAAGCCAUUAAGGCGAGGGSACGUCUGCAUGGGCGUCAC
Molecule: ribosomal RNA, 164 nt
Filed under: Ourisia integrifolia
Lineage: Eukaryota; Viridiplantae; Streptophyta; Magnoliopsida; Lamiales; Plantaginaceae
Description: 5.8S ribosomal RNA
Rfam family: 5.8S ribosomal RNA
About the family: 5.8S ribosomal RNA (5.8S rRNA) is a component of the large subunit of the eukaryotic ribosome.
Source: RNAcentral